CUUUGUGGGAAUGGAUAUUCAUUAGAGGCGGAAAUUGAAACUAUCAAAAAGUACCAGGACAACGUUGAUAUUUUUUGUUGUGAUAAGUCUCUUGGCCAUCUAUUGGAUAAUGGAAUUGUCCCCACUUUUUGUAUGGU
RNAcentral lists this ribosomal RNA (137 nucleotides) under uncultured eukaryote. Its description in RNAcentral is "partial small subunit ribosomal RNA". The record is from RNAcentral.